Molecule: unclassified non-coding RNA, 21 nt
Filed under: Mus musculus (house mouse)
Lineage: Eukaryota; Metazoa; Chordata; Mammalia; Rodentia; Muridae
Description: oocyte_clustered_small_RNA12657
Source: RNAcentral
UGGACGUUAAGCUUCAGCUCG